GGCACAUAAGUACGCGUUGAACUUUGACAAUUGCGAAACUUUAUCAUCAAGACCUCAAACAGAACUUUGCAACAAAUAAUUUGUUCGUUCGAAAUAAUUAAAAAUGUCAGAACCGAAUCUGCAAUCGAAUGAAAUAAACGCCGGUGAAACGGAUGAAUCGCCUGUUAUUAAAAACAUCUCAAUGACAUACGUUUGUGGCGAAUGCCACUCAGAUACGGUUUUAUCACCGAAAGAUCUGGUUCGGUGUCGAGAAUGCGGCUUUCGUAUUUUAUAUAAGAAGAAGACAUCGAGAAUUGUCGUUUACGAUGGACGCUAGGAGUUUUUCAAAAACAACAUUCAAAGACAAUGUUACCAAUGGACGCAGGACUCCUCUUAAUAACACAAAUAUUCAGAAAA
Long non-coding RNA from Bradysia coprophila, 396 nucleotides. NCBI's taxonomy places the organism in Eukaryota, Metazoa, Arthropoda, Insecta, Diptera, Sciaridae. The record is from RefSeq and is a predicted model, not a curated record.